CCUACGGGUGGCAGCAGUGAGGAAUAUUGGUCAAUGGGCGGAAGCCUGAACCAGCCAAGUAGCGUGCAGGAUGACGGCCCUACGGGUUGUAAACUGCUUUUAUACGGGAAUAACGCGCCUUACGUGUAUCGCUUUGCAUGUACCGUAUGAAUAAGGACCGGCUAAUUCCGUGCCAGCAGCCGCGGUAAUACGGAAGGUCCGGGCGUUAUCCGGAUUUAUUGGGUUUAAAGGUAGCGUAGGCCGCAUGUCAAGCGUGCUGUGAAAUGUCCGGGCUCAACCCGGGCCUUGCAGCGCGAACUGGCGUGCUUGAGUCCGCGGAAAGCAGGCGGAAUUCGUGGUGUAGCGGUGAAAUGCUUAGAUAUGACGAAGAACCCCGAUUGCGAAGGCAGCUUGCUGCAGCGGAACUGACGCUGAUGCUCGAAAGCGCGGGUAUCGAACAGGAUUAGAUACCCGUGUAGUC
RNAcentral lists this ribosomal RNA (460 nucleotides) under uncultured bacterium. RNAcentral describes it as "partial 16S ribosomal RNA". It matches the Rfam family "Bacterial small subunit ribosomal RNA", at positions 338 to 795 of the family's 1533-position model. The record is from RNAcentral.